CCCCUGACUCUUGGAUAAGCGCUGGAAACGGUGUCUAAUACUGGAUAUGUCCCGUCACCGCAGGGUGUGCGGGUGGAAAGAUUUUUCGGUUGGGGAUGGGCUCGCGGCCUAUCAGCUUGUUGGUGAGGUAAUGGCUCACCAAGGCGUCGACGGGUAGCCGGCCUGAGAGGGUGACCGGCCACACUGGGACUGAGACACGGCCCAGACUCCUACGGGAGGCAGCAGUGGGGAAUAUUGCACAAUGGGCGGAAGCCUGAUGCAGCAACGCCGCGUGAGGGAUGACGGCCUUCGGGUUGUAAACCUCUUUUAGCAGGGAAGAAGCGAGAGUGACGGUACCUGCAGAAAAAGCACCGGCUAACUACGUGCCAGCAGCCGCGGUAAUACGUAGGGUGCAAGCGUUAUCCGGAAUUAUUGGGCGUAAAGAGCUCGUAGGCGGUCUGUCGCGUCUGCUGUGAAAUCCCGAGGCUCAACCUCGGGCUUGCAGUGGGUACGGGCAGACUAGAGUGCGGUAGGGGGAGAUUGGAAUUCCUGGUGUAGCGGGUGGAAUGCGCAGAUAUCAGGAGGAACACCGAUGGCGAAGGCAGAUCUCUGGGCCGUAACUGACGCUGAGGAACGAAAGGGUGGGGAGCAAACAGGCUUAGAUACCCUGGUAGUCCACCCCGUAAACGUUGGGAACUAGUU
This 681-nucleotide ribosomal RNA is filed under the name Microbacterium sp. Cdan2. RNAcentral describes it as "bacterial SSU rRNA". It matches the Rfam family "Bacterial small subunit ribosomal RNA", at positions 129 to 821 of the family's 1533-position model. Lineage: Bacteria; Bacillati; Actinomycetota; Actinomycetes; Micrococcales; Microbacteriaceae. The record is from RNAcentral.